RNAcentral lists this ribosomal RNA (255 nucleotides) under Triticum aestivum (bread wheat). Its description in RNAcentral is "partial small subunit ribosomal RNA". Lineage: Eukaryota; Viridiplantae; Streptophyta; Magnoliopsida; Poales; Poaceae. The record is from RNAcentral.
AUGAGCAGCUCGGUGCUCUUCUGGUACUUGCGGAUCUCCCGGAGCGCGACGGUGCCGGGGCGGAAGCGGUGGGGCUUCUUCACGCCGCCGGUGGCCGGGGCGGACUUGCGCGCCGCCUUGGUGGCCAGCUGCUUCCGCGGCGCCUUGCCGCCGGUGGACUUCCUCGCCGUCUGCUUCGUGCGGGCCAUCGGGAGUGGAGGACUUGCUUCGUGGGCGCGGAGAGAGGAUUGCUUCGGAGGUUUGGGGUUGGAAUGA